CAGGAUUCCCUCAGUAGCGGCGAGCGAACAGGGAGGAGCCCAGCACCGAAUCCCGCGUUCCGAGAGGGGCGCAGGGAAAUGUGGUGUUAAGGAGCGUCCGUCAUCCCGGCGCGCGUACGGUCGGUCCAAGUCCUUCUUGAACGGGGCCACUUACCCGCAGAGGGUGCCAGGCCCGUAGAGGCGACCGUCGGCGCCGGGAGGGCGCCUCCUGAGAGUCGGGUUGCUUGAGAGUGCAGCCCUAAGCGGGUGGUAAACUCCAUCUAAGGCUAAAUAUCACCACGAGACCGAUAGCGAACAAGUACCGUGAGGGAAAGUUGAAAAGAACUUUGAAGAGAGAGUUCAAUAGUACGUGAAACCGUUCAGGGGUAAACCUGAGAAACCCGAAAGGUCGAAGGGGGAGAUUCAACCGCGUCUCGGAUGCGGUACCGCGGGGACCGGGCCACGGACCAGACCCUCUAGCGGGGCGGUCCGGGUCCGACGCUCGCGGGCGAUGCCGCGCCGAACGCGUGCACUUCUCCCCUAGUAGGACGUCGCGACCCGUCGGGUGCCGGUCUAAGGUCCGCGGUGGAGCCGCACGGUCGAGACUUCGCGUCGAGGCCGGGCGACCCGCGGUUCUUGCCCGACCGGCUCGCCCGACGGUACGACAGAGGCGCGGGGCCGCGACGCGCCAUCCUCGCGGUGGCGCGACGCGUCCGGCGCGUCGCUUUCGCGCACCGGCUCGCCGCAACGCCGGACUUCGUGCCGGCUUCGGUUGUUCCGGUCGCUGGCGGCGCGCGCUGGACAGUACCCGUUCGCCGGUCGGCGACGCUCAAGUUUUGGGUGCUUUCAGGACCCGUCUUGAAACACGGACCAAGGAGUCUAGCAUGUGCGCGAGUCAUUGGGACGUUUCUAAUCCCAAAGGCGUAAUGAAAGUGAAGGUCCGCCUCGCGCGGACCCGGGGAGGAUCGGCCGGCGUCGCCUUGCGGCGCCGCCGCGCACUCCCGGGGCGUCUCGACGUCUUCGCGACCGAGGCGCACCCCGAGCGCACACGCUGGGACCCGAAAGAUGGUGAACUGUGCCUGGUCAGGACGAAGUCAGGGGAAACCCUGAUGGAGGUCCGUAGCGAUUCUGACGUGCAAAUCGAUCGUCGGAACUGGGCAUAGGGGCGAAAGACUAAUCGAACUAUCUAGUAGCUGGUUCCCUCCGAAGUUUCCCUCAGGAUAGCUGGCGCUCGCAGUAUCGAGUCUCAUACGGUAAAGCGAAUGAUUAGAGGCAUUGGGUUCGAAACGGCCUCAACCUAUUCUCAAACUUUAAAUGGGUGAGAUCUCCGGCUUGCUCGAUCUAAGUGAAGCCGCGAGCGUAACGAUAACGGAUCAGAG
This 1358-nucleotide ribosomal RNA is filed under the name Stegobium paniceum (drugstore beetle). RNAcentral describes it as "eukaryotic LSU rRNA". It matches the Rfam family "Eukaryotic large subunit ribosomal RNA", at positions 70 to 1121 of the family's 3401-position model. Lineage: Eukaryota; Metazoa; Arthropoda; Insecta; Coleoptera; Ptinidae. The record is from RNAcentral.